Molecule: ribosomal RNA, 253 nt
Filed under: uncultured bacterium
Lineage: Bacteria
Description: partial 16S ribosomal RNA
Rfam family: Bacterial small subunit ribosomal RNA
Source: RNAcentral
UACAGAGGUGGCAAGCGUUGUUCGGAAUUACUGGGCGUAAAGGGCUCGUAGGCGGCCAACUAAGUCAAACGUGAAAUCCCUCGGCUUAACCGGGGAACUGCGCUUGAUACUGGAUGGCUUGAGAUUGGGAGAGGGAUGCGGAAUUCCAGGUGUAGCGGUGAAAUGCGUAGAUAUCUGGAGGAACACCGGUGGCGAAGGCGGCAUCCUGGACCAACACUGACGCUGAGGAGCGAAAGCCAGGGGAGCAAACGGG